Molecule: small RNA, 35 nt
Filed under: Arabidopsis thaliana (thale cress)
Lineage: Eukaryota; Viridiplantae; Streptophyta; Magnoliopsida; Brassicales; Brassicaceae
Description: ATSL025620
Source: RNAcentral
GUUUCUUCUUCUUCUUAACCGUUUUCCCUCCAUAU